This 549-nucleotide small RNA is filed under the name Pongo abelii (Sumatran orangutan). RNAcentral's name for it is "retained intron". The record is from RNAcentral. Lineage: Eukaryota; Metazoa; Chordata; Mammalia; Primates; Hominidae.
GACUUUCAGAAGAUGAAGGUAAGUAGAAACCAUUGAUGGGACUGAGAAACCAGAGUUAAAAUCUCUUGGGAGCUUCUGAGGACUCAGCUGGGACCAACGGGCCACAGUUGGCAACACCAUUAUGACAUCACAACCUGUUCCCAAUGAGACCAUCAUAGUGCUCCCAUCAAAUGUCAUCAACUUCUCCCAAGCAGAGAAACCCGAACCCACCAACCAGGGGCAGGAUAGCCUGAAGAAACAUCUACACGCAGAAAUCAAAGUUAUUGGGACUAUCCAGAUCUUGUGUGGCAUGAUGGUGUUGAGCUUGGGGAUCAUUUUGGCAUCUGCUUCCUUCUCUCCAAAUUUUACCCAAGUGACUUCUACGCUGUUGAACUCUGCUUACCCAUUCAUAGGACCCUUUUUUUUUAUGAUCUCUGGCUCUCUAUCAAUCGCCACAGAGAAAAGGUUAACCAAGCUUUUGGUGAGUAUGAGAACUAUAACCCACAACCCAAUGGAUCAAAAUAAAACUUAGACAGAACUUGUUAAGGCUAGUCUUUCUACUUUGAAAAG